RNAcentral lists this ribosomal RNA (506 nucleotides) under uncultured bacterium. Its description in RNAcentral is "partial 16S ribosomal RNA". It matches the Rfam family "Bacterial small subunit ribosomal RNA", at positions 29 to 523 of the family's 1533-position model. The record is from RNAcentral.
AGUGAACGCUGGCGGUAGGCCUAACACAUGCAAGUCGAACGGCAGCACAGGAGAGCUUGCUCUCGGGGUGGCGAGUGGCGGACGGGUGAGGAAUACAUCGGAAUCUACUUUUUCGUGGGGGAUAACGUAGGGAAACUUACGCUAAUACCGCAUACGACCUAGGGGUGAACGCAGGGGACCUUCGGGUCUUGCGCGAUUGAAUGAGCAGAUGUCGGAUUAGCUAGUUGGCGGGGUAAAGGCCCACCAAGGGGACGAUCAGUAGCUGGUCUGAGAGGAUGAUCAGCCACACUGGAACUGAGAGGCGGUCCAGACUCCUACGGGAGGCAGCAGUGGGGAAUGUUGGACAAUGGGCGCAAGCCUGAUCCAGCCAUACCGCGUGGGUGAAGAAGGCCUUCGGGUUGUAAAGCCCUUUUGUUGGGAAAGAAAUCCAGCUGGCUAAUACCCGGUUGGGAUGACGGUACCCAAAGAAUAAGCACCGACUAACUUCGUGCCAGCCGCCGCGGUAA